CGGUUCGUAGUUAAAUCAUAACGCUUAAUUUGCAUUUAAGAGUUGGCGCACACCUCUCCCGAGCUUU
RNAcentral lists this transfer RNA (67 nucleotides) under Paracyclopina nana. RNAcentral's name for it is "tRNA-Ala". The record is from RNAcentral. Lineage: Eukaryota; Metazoa; Arthropoda; Copepoda; Cyclopoida; Cyclopettidae.